Molecule: ribosomal RNA, 254 nt
Filed under: uncultured bacterium
Lineage: Bacteria
Description: partial 16S ribosomal RNA
Rfam family: Bacterial small subunit ribosomal RNA
Source: RNAcentral
UACGUAGGGGGGCUAGCGUUGUCCGGAAUCAUUGGGCGUAAAGCGCGUGUAGGCGGUCCGGUAAGUCCGCUGUGAAAGUCGGGGGCUCAACCCUCGGAUGCCGGUGGAUACUGUCGGGCUUGAGUACGGAAGAGGCGAGUGGAAUUCCUGGUGUAGCGGUGAAAUGCGCAGAUAUCAGGAGGAACACCAAUUGCGAAGGCAGCUCGCUGGGACGUUACUGACACUGAGGCGCGAAAGCGUGGGGAGCGAACAGG